This 485-nucleotide ribosomal RNA is filed under the name uncultured bacterium. RNAcentral's name for it is "bacterial SSU rRNA". It matches the Rfam family "Bacterial small subunit ribosomal RNA", at positions 28 to 516 of the family's 1533-position model. The record is from RNAcentral.
GACGAACGCUGGCGGCGUGCUUAACACAUGCAAGUCGAACGGAGCUUAUGGAGAGCUUGCUCGAAGUAAGCUUAGUGGCGAACGGGUGAGUAACGCGUGAGAAACCUGCCUCUCAGUGGGGGACAACAGUUGGAACGACUGCUAAUACCGCAUAAUGUAUUCGGAAGGCAUCUUCUGAAUACCAAAGCUUUAUGUGCUGAGAGAUGGUCUCGCGUCUGAUUAGCUAGAUGGCGGGGUAACGGCCCACCAUGGCGACGAUCAGUAGCCGGUCUGAGAGGAUGAACGGCCACAUUGGGACUGAGAUACGGCCCAGACUCCUACGGGAGGCAGCAGUGGGGAAUAUUGGGCAAUGGGGGAAACCCUGACCCAGCAACGCCGCGUGAAGGAAGAAGGGCUUUCGGGAUCGUAAAACUCCCUGUCCUCAGGGAAGAGCAGAAGACGGUACCUGAGGAGGAAGCCCCCGGCUAACUAACGUGCCAGCAGCC